AGCAGCCGCGGUAAUUCCAGCUCCAAUAGCGUAUAUUAAAGUUGUUGCAGUUAAAAAGCUCGUAGUUGAAUUUCGGGAUCAAAUUGUCGGUCGUGCCUCGGUACGUACUGGUAUUAUUGGUUCCUACCUUCUGAAGAACCGCGAUGUCAUUAAUUUGGUGUCGUGGGGAAUCAGGACUGUUACUUUGAAAAAAUUAGAGUGUUUAAAGCAGGCUUACGCUUGAAUACAUUAGCAUGGAAUAAUGAAAUAGGACGUUUGAUUCUAUUUUGUUGGUUUCUAGGAUCGACGUAAUGAUUAAUAGGGAUAGUUGGGGGCAUUAGUAUUCAAUUGUCAGAGGUGAAAUUCUUGGAUUUAUUGAAGACUAGCUACUGCGAAAGCAUUUGCCAAGGAUGUUUUCAUUAAUCAAGAACGAAAGUUAGGGAUCGAAGACGAUCAGAUACCGUCGUAGUC
Molecule: ribosomal RNA, 450 nt
Filed under: uncultured Glomeromycotina
Lineage: Eukaryota; Fungi; Glomeromycota
Description: SSU rRNA
Rfam family: Eukaryotic small subunit ribosomal RNA
Source: RNAcentral